GACGAACGCUGGCGGCGUGCCUAAUACAUGCAAGUCGAACGCAGUGGGGACGGGUGAGUAACACGUGGGUAACCUCCCAUCAGAGGGGAUAACACUUGGAAACAGGUGCUAAACCGAUACUGAUGGAUGGACCCGCGGUGCAUUAGCUAGUUGGUGGGGUAAAGGCCCACCAAGGCCACGAUGCAUAACCGAGCUGAGAGGGUGAUCGGCCACACUGGAACUGAGACACGGCCCAGACUCCUACGGGAGGCAGCAGUAGGGAAUCUUGGGCAAUGGACGAAAGUCUGACCGAGCAAUGCCGCGUGUGUGAAGAAGGUUUUCGGAUUGUAAAGCUCUGUUGUUAGAGAAGCGGUAUCUAACCAGAAAGCCCCGGCUAACUACGUGCCAGCAGCCGCGGUAAUAC
RNAcentral lists this ribosomal RNA (403 nucleotides) under uncultured bacterium. RNAcentral describes it as "partial 16S ribosomal RNA". It matches the Rfam family "Bacterial small subunit ribosomal RNA", at positions 28 to 526 of the family's 1533-position model. The record is from RNAcentral.